GUGCAGAUGAUGAAACUAGAUCCAACUCUUAUGAUCAGUGCAGAGUUAUAUCACAUCGAGCUUUUUAACCCUGAUGCACU
This is a non-coding RNA of Lingula anatina, 80 nucleotides long. The record is from Rfam. NCBI's taxonomy places the organism in Eukaryota, Metazoa, Brachiopoda, Lingulata, Lingulida, Lingulidae.